CCCUUAGAUGUUCUGGGCCGCACGCGCGCUACACUGAUGCAUUCAACGAGUUUCUUCCUGGUCCGAGAGGAAUGGGUAACCUUUUGAAAGUGCAUCGUGAUAGGGAUAGACUAUUGCAAUUAUUGGUCUUCGACGAGGAAUUCCUAGUAGACGUAGUUCAUCAGACUGCAUCGAUUACGUCCCUGCCCUUUGUACACACCGCCCGUCGCUCCUACCGAUUGAAUGCUCAGGUGAGCCAUUCGGACUUUCAUCAUGCUGGUUUCCAGUUUUGAUGAAGGAAAGUCUUGCGAACCUUAUCAUUUAGAGGAAGGAGAAGUCGUAACA
RNAcentral lists this ribosomal RNA (324 nucleotides) under uncultured eukaryote. RNAcentral describes it as "partial 18S ribosomal RNA". It matches the Rfam family "Eukaryotic small subunit ribosomal RNA", at positions 1470 to 1796 of the family's 1831-position model. The record is from RNAcentral.